Molecule: long non-coding RNA, 657 nt
Organism: Oncorhynchus keta (chum salmon)
Lineage: Eukaryota; Metazoa; Chordata; Actinopteri; Salmoniformes; Salmonidae
Exons: 5
Source: RefSeq, a predicted model, not a curated record
CAGGAGUACUACAGGUACACACACACACACAACCAGGAGUACUACAGGUACACACACACACACAACCAGGAGUACUACAGGUACACACACACACACAACCAGGAGUACUACAGGUACACACACACACACAACCAGGAGUACUACAGGUACACACACACACACAACCAGGAGUACUACAGGUACACACACACACACAACCAGGAGUACUACAGGUACACACACACACACAACCAGGAGUACUACAGGUACACACACACACACAACCAGGAGUACUACAGGUACACACACACACACAACCAGGAGUACUACAGGUACACACACACACACAACCAGGAGUACUACAGGUACACACACACACACAACCAGGAGUACUACAGGUACACACACAACCAGGAGUACUACAGGUACACACACAACCAGGAGUACUACAGGUACACACACAACCAGGAGUACUACAGGUACACACACAACCAGGAGUACUACAGGUACACACACAACCAGGAGUACUACAGGUACACACACAACCAGGAGUACUACAGGUACACACACAACCAGGAGUACUACAGGUACACACACAACCAGGAGUACUACAGGUACACACACAACCAGGAGUACUACAGGUACACACACAACCAGGAGUACUACAGGUACACACAC